CACGUAGGGCGCAAGCGUUGUCCGGAAUUAUUGGGCGUAAAGAGCUCGUAGGCGGUCUGUUGCGUCCGCUGUGAAAACUCGGGGCUUAACCCCGAGCCUGCAGUGGAUACGGGCAGACUAGAGGUAGGUAGGGGAGAAUGGAAUUCCUGGUGUAGCGGUGAAAUGCGCAGAUAUCAGGAGGAACACCGGUGGCGAAGGCGGAUCUCUGGGCCAUUACUGACGCUGAGGAGUGAAAGCGUGGGGAGCGAACAGG
RNAcentral lists this ribosomal RNA (253 nucleotides) under uncultured bacterium. Its description in RNAcentral is "partial 16S ribosomal RNA". It matches the Rfam family "Bacterial small subunit ribosomal RNA", at positions 524 to 776 of the family's 1533-position model. The record is from RNAcentral.